UACGGAGGGGGCUAGCGUUGUUCGGAAUUACUGGGCGUAAAGCGCACGUAGGCGGCUUUGUAAGUUAGAGGUGAAAGCCCGGGGCUCAACUCCGGAAUUGCCUUUAAGACUGCAUCGCUAGAAUUGUGGAGAGGUAAGUGGAAUUCCGAGUGUAGAGGUGAAAUUCGUAGAUAUUCGGAAGAACACCAGUGGCGAAGGCGGCUCACCGGCUCGUAACUGACGCUCAUGCACGACAGCGUGGGGAUCAAACAGG
RNAcentral lists this ribosomal RNA (253 nucleotides) under uncultured bacterium. Its description in RNAcentral is "partial 16S ribosomal RNA". It matches the Rfam family "Bacterial small subunit ribosomal RNA", at positions 524 to 776 of the family's 1533-position model. The record is from RNAcentral.